This 79-nucleotide ribosomal RNA is filed under the name Bacillus thuringiensis serovar amagiensis. RNAcentral's name for it is "partial 23S ribosomal RNA". The record is from RNAcentral. Lineage: Bacteria; Bacillati; Bacillota; Bacilli; Caryophanales; Bacillaceae.
AGGUUGAUAGGUUCGAGGUGGAAGCAUGGUGACAUGUGGAGCUGACGAAUACUAAUAGAUCGAGGACUUAACCAUAUAA